Toxotes jaculatrix (banded archerfish) is the source of this 581-nucleotide long non-coding RNA. RefSeq lists it as uncharacterized. The record is from RefSeq and is a predicted model, not a curated record. The transcript is spliced from 5 exons. Lineage: Eukaryota; Metazoa; Chordata; Actinopteri; Toxotidae.
GGGAGAUGGAGAUGGAGACGGAGAUGGAGAGAGAGAUGGGCUGGAGAAGAAGGAUGGCCACAUAAUGCUUCACCAUCGCCACUAAUUAAGAGGCAAAGAGAAGAGUGACUAUGCAAAUGAGGUGUUUGAGAGCAGCAGCCGCAGCAGCAUAGAAUGCAACAUUAAAAAACAAGAUCAAACAUCACAUCCUUGUGAGAGAUGGAAGAAAAGAGGGGAGGAGAAAGGAGGGAGGAGAGAAUGGGAGGUGAGGAAGCAGUGGGUGGUGAGAGCCAAACACUCCAACAGGAAAAGACAACCGGCAUCUGGCUUCUCUCUCUCUCUUUCAUCACAGCUGAGAGAGACUUAUGUCAUCACACUUGAGGAGGACAGCAGCUUCAUUAAACAAAAGGCACCGGGUGAAAUGAGAUCAAGUGCACUGAAACAGACUUAAGCAGGCCUCUCAUCCCUAUCCAACCAUCCUGGUUUUGUCUUCCUGAUGAUCUCCGGGGCUCUGCAGGGUCAGCCGAGGUCCUUCCUCCAAACUCUCAUCUGGGCUCUCCACCGUCAACCCCGACACCUCAUCCAGGAUGUCCUCUACAGAU